This is an RNA transcript of Asparagus officinalis (garden asparagus), 1422 nucleotides long. It is a transcript of the gene named eukaryotic translation initiation factor 3 subunit I-like, with no coding region annotated. The transcript is spliced from 7 exons. The record is from RefSeq and is a predicted model, not a curated record. Lineage: Eukaryota; Viridiplantae; Streptophyta; Magnoliopsida; Asparagales; Asparagaceae.
AGGAAGCACUCCUCGACAUCGCCAGAAGCACGAUUCUCCUCCGAAAAAAAAAACCCUAAUCGAUCGAUCUAGGUUUUCGUCUUUCUUCAUAGGUUUCAAGAUGAGGCCGAUCCUGAUGAAAGGCCAUGAAAGACCUCUAACUUUCCUUAAGUACAACAGAGAAGGGGAUCUGCUCUUCUCCUGCGCUAAGGAUCACAAUCCCACUGUUUGGUUCGCUGAUAAUGGCGAGCGCCUUGGAGUUUACAAGGGCCACAACGGCGCUGUUUGGAGCUGCGACGUUUCUCGUGAUUCUAUGCGCCUGAUUACAGGAAGUGCUGAUCAGACUGCGAAGCUGUGGAAUGUACAAACAGGAGCUCAGCUUUAUACUUUCAACUUUGAUUCUCCAGCUAGAUCGGUGCAAUUCUCUGUUGGGGAUAAGCUUGCUAUUGUAACAACCGAUCCCUUUAUGGGUCAUCCUCCCACUAUUCAAGUGAAACAAAUUGCCAGAGAUCCUAGCGAACAAACUGGGGAAUCUGUGCUCACAAUCAAGGGUCCAGGGAGAAUCACUGGGGCUAUUUGGGGACCUUUAAACAAGACUAUAAUAAGCGGAGGAGAAGAUGGAAUACUCCGUACGUGGGAUACUGAGACUGGGAGCCUUUUGAAGGAGUCGGAUAAGGAAACUGGUCAUCAGAAGAGAAUCACUUCAAUUUCUAAGUCUGCCGAUGGGUCUCAUUUCCUUACAAGUUCUUUGGAUAAAUCUGCUAAGCUUUGGGACACCAGAACAUUGACUCUGUUGAAGACCUAUGUGACAAGUGCUCCAGUGAAUGCUUGCGCAAUAUCUCCGCUUCUCGAUCAUGUUCAUGAACAACCAACUACCGAAGCACAUGUGGUUGCAACUGAGAAAAUCUGUUGAUAUGGAUUGUGCUUUGAACCCUUUACGCGAAGUUCAUAAAGGAAUAUAGUUCAAGUUUCGUUUCCUUUCUAAGUAGUUCAUUCAUACUUUAAAUUGGAAUUACCUCCAUAGUACUUCUUAUCAUGUCAAGUAAGAUGCACCAUUUAAAACAGUCAUCCUUCCCCAUUGGAAUUAUUUAAAAGAUUGUAGCAACUUCACUUAUGCAUUGUUAGUUAGGUACUGUGCAUAUUUUCGAUCAUCUUGUGCAUGUGUGUGUGUGUCAUACGUUUAUUUAAAAGCAAUUUCUUUUUUUUUGUCUUGUUCAUGUUAAUUGCGUAGAAAAAAGUUUUCAGACUUGAUUCUUAUGUAUACUAUUCUGAGAGAUAAUAUCUUUUUAUUCUCAUGAUUGUUGGUGGUUUUAUAACUUGGCAUAUUGCAAUCAUCUCCUGUAUAGUUGUUGUAGUUUUGUAUCUGGUUUCAGGUGGUGAUUGGCGGUGGCCAGGAUGCAGUGAAUGUUACGAUGACUGAUCACCGUGCAGGAAAGUUUGAAG